Molecule: ribosomal RNA, 395 nt
Filed under: Pagrus major (red seabream)
Lineage: Eukaryota; Metazoa; Chordata; Actinopteri; Spariformes; Sparidae
Description: partial 16S ribosomal RNA
Rfam family: Bacterial large subunit ribosomal RNA
Source: RNAcentral
UGAAAUUGAUCUCCCCGUGCAGAAGCGGGGAUAAUACCAUAAGACGAGAAGACCCUAUGGAGCUUUAGACGUCAGAGCAGCCCAUGUAAAGCACCCCUUAACAAAGGAAAAAACCAAAUGAAGCCUGCCCUAAUGUCUUUGGUUGGGGCGACCGCGGGGAAAUACAAAACCCCCAUGUGGAGUAGGAAUACACAUUCCUAAACCCAAGAGCUCCCGCUCUAAUGAACAGAAAUUCUGACCAAUAAGAUCCGGCACACGCCGAUCAACGGACCGAGUUACCCUAGGGAUAACAGCGCAAUCCCCUUAAAGAGCCCUUAUCGACAAGGGGGUUUACGACCUCGAUGUUGGAUCAGGACAUCCUAAUGGUGCAGCCGCUAUUAAGGGUUCGUUUGNUC